Molecule: long non-coding RNA, 775 nt
Organism: Osmerus eperlanus (European smelt)
Lineage: Eukaryota; Metazoa; Chordata; Actinopteri; Osmeriformes; Osmeridae
Exons: 3
Source: RefSeq, a predicted model, not a curated record
UAUUAAGAAUGUAAUUGGCUAUAUGGUCACAGAGUUCAUUUGUGAAACAAUUGAAGCCAAGUGUUUGAACCCAGACAGAGCUGAUGGGGGCGGAACGCACACGGAUAGUUUGGACCUUUGGGAAUCUAACCACCAGACCAUUUUUGUUGGGAUGUUUACCUUGUUAGCUUUCAGAUCUAACUCUUCAGCAGGUGGUCUCAACACAAGCGGACUCUUAACCCCGUGGUGCAGCCCAGUCCAGGAGGGGGGAGUGCAGAGAUACACAAUCUGGAUGAAGCAUCUCCAAAAUCGUUAUGUCUCCAUCUCCAUGACAAUGGUCUCUAAACCCACACACUGUCAACACAUUAGUCACUUUAUGAUUCAUCUGGGAUGUUGUUGUUGUUGUCCUAAGAGGCAUCGAAGAAGAUGUGUGUGUGUAACUGCGUGUGUGUGUGUGUACCUGUGUGUGUGAGUGUGUGUGUGUGUGUACCUGUGUGUGUGUGUGUGCCUGUGUGUACGUGUGUUUCCACUUCCCCUCUCAUUAGUUGCAGCCCUCAGCAGAAGUAUUAUCUCCCUGAGACAAUACUUCAUCAGUGCAUUAGUCAUAAUUGACAGCAUUAGUGGCCAUGCCCCCUGGCUCCCCAUAGCAGUGCUCUCCACAGCGCUAAUCCUAACCUUCCUCUGUGCUGCCAGUGGCAGUAGACCUAGCCUAGCCUAGCCUAGCCACAGUACAGUCCCAGCCCAGUUUAGCUCAGUCCAGCGCUACCUAGUCCUGCCCCAGCCUAGCUCAGUCCCA